Molecule: ribosomal RNA, 492 nt
Filed under: uncultured bacterium
Lineage: Bacteria
Description: partial 16S ribosomal RNA
Rfam family: Bacterial small subunit ribosomal RNA
Source: RNAcentral
AGUGAACGCUGGCGAUAGGCCUAACACAUGCAAGUCGAACGGCAGCACAGUAAGAGCUUGCUCUUACGGGUGGCGAGUGGCGGGCGGGUGAGGGAUACAUCGGAAUCUACUUUUUCGUGGGGGAUAACGUAGGGAAACUUACGCUAAUACCGCAUACGACCUACGGGUGAAAGCAGGGGAUCUUCGGACCUUGCGCGAUUGAAUGAGCCGAUGUCGGAUUAGCUAGUUGGCGGGGUAAAGGCCCACCAAGGCGACGAUCCGUAGCUGGUCUGAGAGGAUGAUCAGCCACACUGGAACUGAGACACGGUCCAGACUCCUACGGGAGGCAGCAGUGGGGAAUAUUGGACAAUGGGCGCAAGCCUGAUCCAGCCAUACCGCGUGGGUGAAGAAGGCCUUCGGGUUGUAAAGCCCUUUUGUUGGGAAAGAAAAGCAGCAGGUUAAUACCCCGCUGUUCUGACGGUACCCAAAGAAUAAGCGCCGGCUAACUUCGUG